GGGUAGUGUUAUGGUAGGGCUGGGGUAGUGUUAUGGUAGGGCUGGGGUAGUGUUAUGGUAGUGUUAGGGUAGGGCUGGGGUAGUGUUAUGGUAGGGCUGGGGUAGUGUUAUGGUAGGGCUGGGGUAGUGUUAGGGUAGUUUUAGGGUAGUGUUAUGGUAGGGCUGGGGUAGUGUUAUGGUAGUGUUAGGGUAGUGUUAUGGUAGGGAUGGGGUACAGAGGGAUUCGUAGAACACUCCAGUUCAUUAUAGUGCACUAAUAGGUCCCCUCCCUCUCUACAGGUUGACAGAAACAGAGGGAUUCGUAGAACACUCCAGUUCAUUAUAGUGCACUAAUAGGUCCCCUCCCUCUCUACAGGUUGACAGAGGGAUUCGUAGAACACUCCAGUUCAUUAUAGUGCACUAAUAGGUUCCCUCCCUCUCUACAGGUUGACAGAAACAGAGGGAUUCGUAGAACACUCCAGUUCAUUAUAGUGCACUAAUAGGUUCCCUCCCUCUCUACAGGUUGACAGAAACAGAGGGAUUCGUAGAACACUCCAGUUCAUUAUAGUGCACUAAUAGGUCCCCUCCCUCUCUACAGGUUGACAGAAACAGAGGGAUUCGUAGAACACUCCAGUUCAUUAUAGUGCACUAAUAGGUUCCCUCCCUCUCUACAGGUUGACAGAAACAGAGGGAUUCGUAGAACACUCCAGUUCAUUAUAGUGCACUAAUAGGUCCCCUCCCUCUCUACAGGUUGACAGAAACAGAGGGAUUCGUAGAACACUCCAGUUCAUUAUAGUGCACUAAUAGGUCCCCUCCCUCUCUACAGGUUGACAGAAACAGAGGGAUUCGUAGAACACUCCAGUUCAUUAUAGUGCACUAAUAGGUCCCCUCCCUCUCUACAGGUUGACAGAAACAGAGGGAUUCGUAGAACACUCCAGUUCAUUAUAGUGCACUAAUAGGUCCCCUCCCUCUCUACAGGUUGACAGAAACAGAGGGAUUCGUAGAACACUCCAGUUCAUUAUAGUGCACUAAUAGGUCCCCUCCCUCUCUACAGGUUGACAGAAACAGAGGGAUUCGUAGAACACUCCAGUUCAUUAUAGUGCACUAAUAGGUCCCCUCCCUCUCUACAGGUUGACAGACAGUGUAUCUCCAGUCUACUGGACUCUGGCUCCUGGCAUCUCCACACCGUUCUUCUCACCGACACACAGGUCAGUGUUAAUGAUUAAUGUUAUUUACUGGUUGUUUAAGCACAGAAAUGCACUGUGAGCUUAGCACAACGUUCUCUAUAGACAGACCUGAUGAUGAUGUAGUGGACUAGCAACUGAUCUACAGUCAGGUAUAUUCUACCACCCGAAUGGUUAAUAUUAGCAUUGUGCGUAUGGUAAUCUGAUCCUAGAUCUGUGGUAUGGUGGAUUGAGUGUUCAUCUUCACCCAAUGUGUGUUGUUGUCAGUGCAGCGAGGCAGCAGGUGUCAUGCCUUGGUCUAUAUUUACUAUUACAGUGCUUUGGCUCCACCUUGUGGAUAUGUGUUAUAACUACAUCAGCAGUGAUUUUGUGUUGUGAUGAAUGUAUUCAUUGGAGAUCAUUUGGAUUCAAGAUGAAUGCAGACAGUAAUGCAGACAGUAAUGCAGACAGUAAUGCAGACAGUAAUGCAGACAGUAAUGCAGACAGUAAUGCAGACAGUAAUGCAGACAGUGAUCUGGUUGAUUGUUAGCAAUCCUUCCCUGAUGGCCAAUAACGCAUUGAUACGGGCCCAACAUUUAUUCUAUAGUCAAAUGCACCUCUUACCAGUGCAAUAACAUGUCUAUAUUGGGCUUCCUGCAGACUAAUCUAGAUAUUACUGUAGCCUGCUGGUAUGUCAGCUUUACUACGGUCUUCAAGAGUUCUGGACCUUUCCGGCAGAACACUAGGUUACAUUGUAGCAGGCGAGCGGGUCCCAGCUCCUCUAUAGCUGUUCUGUCCCUCAAUUACUACAUUAGAAAGAGAAAACGUUCUUGGAAUGAAAACCUCCCAGUGCAGAGAGGCAUCAGACAGACCUGGGUUGAAGUACUAUUUCAAAUGCAUCAUUUGCUUGACUGAGCUUUCCUGGCUUUAACACAGACCAAUGGAAUAGUCCAAUAGCUGCAAACGUUAACCCAUCUACAACUCUAGAUAGGCUAGAGGGCAAACUCUCAAAGUAUUGGAUCGAGUUCAAAUAUCUUGUACGAGGAGGAGGAGACAUGGGGAGGGGCGGGAACCCACUGGUCGGGGCGGGAACCCACUGGUCGGGGCACUUCUAACUCUACACAACUCCCCAAACUGGCUCCUUCACAUCCUGUCCAUUGGGUUUGGUCGGCACACAUGCUGUAGCUUCAGUCCUGGUAGCCAUGACAGCACCUGCUGUAGCUAGCUGGCCUGCAGUCUAGAAAGCGGUUUUAAAAUCUGACUGUAGGAGGAUUAACUCCCCUCUAGACACUGAUAUAAAAUCAGGUUGUAUGCGAUUACCCCCAAAUGGCUAAGGUUAGGUUUAGUGGGGGUUAAUCUGCUCCUAGAUCUGUGUGUAUUGGGUCUGAGAGAGCCACAAGGACAACACAUGUAGAGGUAAAUGUCUAUGGGUCUGUCUGCCUACACAGCCAUGAGAGUGAAGGUGGUUCUGUGUUUCAGAGGACAUAGUAACUACCAUUAUUGCCUGUUUGCUAUGAAUUUAACACAGUAACCAGUGGGCUGUGAUAUGAUUAAAUAUACAUCUUUACAUGCAGCCUUUCUUGCUCACUGUUUAUAACUUUGUCUCGUAUUUGUGAUAGAAAAACCUAAGUCGACGAGGCUAUGUGCAAUAGGAGUUUAGAUUUAAGCUAGGCCUGGUUGUGUCAUCACUUUACUCUCCUAUAUGCAGAUCAGACUGUCAAGUCAGUCUGAUAUGAGACGCAGUGGCCUCUUAUGUUCAUACAGUAAAGUAGUGUAACGGUCAACACUUCUACCCAAGAGGCUACAUUAUUGUACGACACGACACUCCCCACAAGGUUAGAUUUGUUGCGCACUUGACUGUUCACCUGCAAUGAUAGAUAAUCUCGCUGCCCCGCAAUGAAGCAACAAUGCCGAGAUAAGAACUCUUCAGCGUUCCAAUCCACCAGCGGCACAGCCUCGUUUAUGCAUUGUGAGAAAACAACGACGGAGAUAUAGAUAUAUAAACUAGUAACCGAUCUGUUUGGUUGGUUUGCUGUUUAUUGUGAAAGUAGAAGUGAUAGGCUAUAUCCAUGAUAUGUGAAUUGCAGGCAAGUAGACUACAAGUUCGACCAGAGAGUCCACAAGCAAAGCACACCACCCGGGCUGGAGGCUUUGACAUCCGAGUGAGCUCGUCUCUGUUCUCCAGCGUUUCCUACCAUCCUAAAUCUGACCGUCGGGAAACGAACUGACAAUCUUACAACACCGGUAAUGAAACAGCUAGAAAUAUAAUGUACAGAAUCCCGAUUAAAGGUUUCGAGUUACAGCGGAUACUA
Long non-coding RNA from Oncorhynchus keta (chum salmon), 3454 nucleotides. RefSeq lists it as uncharacterized. The transcript is spliced from 4 exons. NCBI's taxonomy places the organism in Eukaryota, Metazoa, Chordata, Actinopteri, Salmoniformes, Salmonidae. The record is from RefSeq and is a predicted model, not a curated record.